GACGAACGCUGGCGGCGUGCCUAAUACAUGCAAGUCGAACGCUGAAGGAGGAGCUUGCUUCUCUGGAUGAGUUGCGAACGGGUGAGUAACGCGUAGGUAACCUGCCUGGUAGCGGGGGAUAACUAUUGGAAACGAUAGCUAAUACCGCAUAAGAGUAGAUGUUGCAUGACAUUUGCUUAAAAGGUGCAAUUGCAUCACUACCAGAUGGACCUGCGUUGUAUUAGCUAGUUGGUGGGGUAACGGCUUACCAAGGCGACGAUACAUAGCCGACCUGAGAGGGUGAUCGGCCACACUGGGACUGAGACACGGCCCAGACUCCUACGGGAGGCAGCAGUAGGGAAUCUUCGGCAAUGGACGGAAGUCUGACCGAGCAACGCCGCGGGAGUGAAGAAGGUUUUCGGAUCGUAAAGCUCUGUUGUAAGAGAAGAACGAGUGUGAGAGUGGAAAGUUCACACUGUGACGGUAACUUACCAGAAAGGGACGGCUAACUACGUG
RNAcentral lists this ribosomal RNA (495 nucleotides) under uncultured bacterium. Its description in RNAcentral is "partial 16S ribosomal RNA". It matches the Rfam family "Bacterial small subunit ribosomal RNA", at positions 28 to 507 of the family's 1533-position model. The record is from RNAcentral.